Molecule: long non-coding RNA, 217 nt
Filed under: Capsicum annuum
Lineage: Eukaryota; Viridiplantae; Streptophyta; Magnoliopsida; Solanales; Solanaceae
Description: long non-coding RNA (CANN_LNC021632)
Source: RNAcentral
CAACAUUCAACAGACUCCUUAAAAAUCCCAAGUGUUUAUAUACUUCUCCCUGUCCAUAGUCAGUCAUAUUGUUAUACCUUGUCCGCAAUAACUUUGGAACUUUAUCUAACACCAUGAAAUGGGGUACUUCAUCAUCCCUCGGCCUCUUGUCACUCCUUCCGACCGAGUUCAUAUUGCCCUAUAGGAUAAAGAUGGAAAGUAAGAAUUCUAUUCUAAA